This 154-nucleotide unclassified non-coding RNA is filed under the name soil metagenome. RNAcentral's name for it is "partial internal transcribed spacer 1". The record is from RNAcentral.
CCAGAAGAGACCCUAACCGGUCCUCUCAACCCUGCCCAUCGUACCUUUUUGUUGUUCCCUCGGCGGUGCUUUCGAGGCCCGCCGGCGGGAAGAUCAAACAAACCCUUUGCAAACAAGCAUCUCGAAAUCCUCUGAUCGAAUACAUGAAUUGUCA